AGUUUUAUUUGUGGCGUCCAUAAAGGCUAGUUCGCUAUCGUAUCUUUCAAGUAUUCGUUUUUGUCGUCGCUCUUGAUGUAUAGUACUGUGCUCUUGAAAAAACGUUGCGUGACGCCUGUGAAACAGACUAGGUCUAGUAGUCCUCCGCCGAGAACAACUUGCAAGAAGUCUGGAUCUAAUGGCCGUCGACUUCCCUUGAUUCAAUUCGACCGUGACCUAAACGUGACGCGAAGGUUCAUGUUUUUGUUUGUCGGUGGAACUCUGCAUCGUCUUUAAUUUGGAGAACAAUAUUUGAUCCCGACAGAUUUCAAUCUCGUGAGGCUGAAAACUACAGGACAUCGUCUUUGAGAUGGCUAAAAAAGGAUCUGCUUCUCCACCUCCUGGUUUUGAUAAGGUGGAAGAAGAUACAUGGGAAGCUGUAAAGACUCCCCAGCGGAAAAAACCUGUGAAUGGUCAUACAGGUGUUUUUGCAUAUCACUUUGAUGACUGCAUGUGUGGAAUGGCUGGCUGGCCUUGUUAUAGGGAUGGCAGCAUAUGGAGCUGUUGUGGAGAGACUGACAAGUACUGCCACUGCACAAAGACAAAUCAUAAAGCUGCUAUAAACACACAGGAAAAGAAAAAUUAGUUGAAUCAUUCUCAGGGCCUGGAUUUCAAAAAUAAGAAAAACUGCUAUUCAUUUUUACUCUACAGUCUCCUUUCCAAGAGAAGAAAGGGGAAGCAUUACCCAUCAUCCCAAGGAACAGCUUUAGAGGAUACAACCAAACCAAGGGGUAAACAGCAUUACUUGAGUGGCCCUGACAAUGAGGUCAGAGGGAUGAGCUAUGAUGGCCUCUCACAGUGUUUACAUUUUACAACUUCUCCUCACAGUUAAAAUCAAUACAUUACGAAUAAUGAUA
Pocillopora damicornis (cauliflower coral) is the source of this 896-nucleotide long non-coding RNA. Lineage: Eukaryota; Metazoa; Cnidaria; Anthozoa; Scleractinia; Pocilloporidae. The record is from RefSeq and is a predicted model, not a curated record.